RNAcentral lists this ribosomal RNA (1498 nucleotides) under Bacillus subtilis. Its description in RNAcentral is "16S ribosomal RNA". It matches the Rfam family "Bacterial small subunit ribosomal RNA". The record is from RNAcentral. Lineage: Bacteria; Bacillati; Bacillota; Bacilli; Caryophanales; Bacillaceae.
AGAGUUUGAUCCUGGCUCAGGACGAACGCUGGCGGCGUGCCUAAUACAUGCAAGUCGAGCGGACAGAUGGGAGCUUGCUCCCUGAUGUUAGCGGCGGACGGGUGAGUAACACGUGGGUAACCUGCCUGUAAGACUGGGAUAACUCCGGGAAACCGGGGCUAAUACCGGAUGGUUGUUUGAACCGCAUGGUUCAAACAUAAAAGGUGGCUUCGGCUACCACUUACAGAUGGACCCGCGGCGCAUUAGCUAGUUGGUGAGGUAACGGCUCACCAAGGCAACGAUGCGUAGCCGACCUGAGAGGGUGAUCGGCCACACUGGGACUGAGACACGGCCCAGACUCCUACGGGAGGCAGCAGUAGGGAAUCUUCCGCAAUGGACGAAAGUCUGACGGAGCAACGCCGCGUGAGUGAUGAAGGUUUUCGGAUCGUAAAGCUCUGUUGUUAGGGAAGAACAAGUACCGUUCGAAUAGGGCGGUACCUUGACGGUACCUAACCAGAAAGCCACGGCUAACUACGUGCCAGCAGCCGCGGUAAUACGUAGGUGGCAAGCGUUGUCCGGAAUUAUUGGGCGUAAAGGGCUCGCAGGCGGUUUCUUAAGUCUGAUGUGAAAGCCCCCGGCUCAACCGGGGAGGGUCAUUGGAAACUGGGGAACUUGAGUGCAGAAGAGGAGAGUGGAAUCCCACGUGUAGCGGUGAAAUGCGUAGAGAUGUGGAGGAACACCAGUGGCGAAGGCGACUCUCUGGUCUGUAACUGACGCUGAGGAGCGAAAGCGUGGGGAGCGAACAGGAUUAGAUACCCUGGUAGUCCACGCCGUAAACGAUGAGUGCUAAGUGUUAGGGGGUUUCCGCCCCUUAGUGCUGCAGCUAACGCAUUAAGCACUCCGCCUGGGGAGUACGGUCGCAAGACUGAAACUCAAAGGAAUUGACGGGGGCCCGCACAAGCGGUGGAGCAUGUAGUUUAAUUCGAAGCAACGCGAAGAACCUUACCAGGUCUUGACAUCCUCUGACAAUCCUAGAGAUAGGACGUCCCCUUCGGGGGCAGAGUGACAGGUGGUGCAUGGUUGUCGUCAGCUCGUGUCGUGAGAUGUUGGGUUAAGUCCCGCAACGAGCGCAACCCUUGAUCUUAGUUGCCAGCAUUCAGUUGGGCACUCUAAGGUGACUGCCGGUGACAAACCGGAGGAAGGUGGGGAUGACGUCAAAUCAUCAUGCCCCUUAUGACCUGGGCUACACACGUGCUACAAUGGACAGAACAAAGGGCAGCGAAACCGCGAGGUUAAGCCAAUCCCACAAAUCUGUUCUCAGUUCGGAUCGCAGUCUGCAACUCGACUGCGUGAAGCUGGAAUCGCUAGUAAUCGCGGAUCAGCAUGCCGCGGUGAAUACGUUCCCGGGCCUUGUACACACCGCCCGUCACACCACGAGAGUUUGUAACACCCGAAGUCGGUGAGGUAACCUUUUAGGAGCCAGCCGCCGAAGGUGGGACAGAUGAUGGGGGAAGUCGUA